CAAUAGCGUAUUCAAAUGUUGUUGCAGUUAAAAGCUCGUAGUUGGAUAUCAGAACUCGUGGAAUUGGCCCGUCGCCUUUGUGUGAUUGAGUGCUAGUGAAGCGGUUCUUUCUUUUCCGAGAAGGUGCUCUCCCUUUAAUUAGUGGUGGAGUUUUCCAACUUGGAUCUGUUACCUUGAAUAAAUUAGAGUGUUCAAAGCAAGCUUACGCUGUGAAUAUUUUAGCAUGGAAUAACGACAUAGGACUUUGUUGUCUAUUUCGUUGGUUUCUAGACUCGAAGUAAUGAUUGAUAGGGACAGUUGGGGGUGCUGGUAUUAUAUGGCCAGAGGUGAAAUUCUUGGACCUUCGGAAGACUAACAACUGCGAAAGCAUUUGCCUAGGAUGUUCUCUUUAAUCAAGAACGAAAGUUGGGGGAGUCGAAGAUGAUCAGAUACCAU
Molecule: ribosomal RNA, 435 nt
Filed under: uncultured eukaryote
Lineage: Eukaryota
Description: bacterial SSU rRNA
Rfam family: Eukaryotic small subunit ribosomal RNA
Source: RNAcentral